AUGGCGAGGCCGGCGGUGAAGGCGCUGCCGCCCAAGCACCUCGUGGCGCUCGCCGUCGUCGCCAUCCUUGGACUCUUCCUAGUCGCCGACUACCUCUGGGCCUCCUCCCGCUCCGCUGCCCCCUCCAUCUGGCCCUCGAGGCUCGAUAUCUCCACUCGCCCCACGGCGUCGCCGCCGCCCUCGGAGAAGCAAACAAAGGGCAAUACAUCUACAGGUUCCAUGGACAUAAGUGCCACUUUUGCGGAUUUGCCAGCACCAGAAUUGCAGUGGAAGCAGAUGGCUGAAGCACCGGUACCACGUUUGGACGGUGCUGCUAUACAGAUUAAGAAUCUCUUAUUUGUGUUUGCUGGAUAUGGCACCAUUAACUAUGUGCAUUCUCAUGUGGAUAUUUACAAUUUCUCGGAUAAUACAUGGGGAGGAAAGUUUGAUAUGCCAAAGGAAAUGGCACAUUCACAUCUGGGGAUGGUUACAGAUGGAAGAUAUAUUUAUGUAGUAACUGGACAAUACGGCCCUCAGUGUAGGGGGCCUACAGCUCGAAAUUUUGUGUUGGACACUGAAAGAAAAGAAUGGCAUGAUUUGCCUCCACUGCCAGUUCCUAGGUAUGCUCCAGCCACACAACUUUGGAGAGGGAGGCUUCAUGUGAUGGGUGGUAGUAAGGAGGACAGACAUGAACCUGGACUUGAACAUUGGAGCCUCGCAGUUAAGGAUGGGAAAGCAUUGGAGCAAGAAUGGAGGAGCGAGAUACCAAUCCCACGUGGUGGUCCACAUAGGGCAUGUGUUGUUGCUAAUGAUAAGCUCCUUGUUAUUGGUGGUCAAGAAGGAGAUUUUAUGGCCAAACCUGGAUCACCUAUAUUUAAAUGUGUUAGAAGAAGUGAGAUGGUGUACAGCGAUGUAUACAUGCUUGAUGAUGAAAUGAAGUGGAAGGAACUUCCACCCAUGCCGAAGCCAGAUUCACAUAUAGAGUUUGCCUGGACGAAUGUCAACAAUUCUAUAAUUAUUGCUGGGGGAACUACAGAAAAGCACCCAAUUAAUAAAAGAAUGACCUUGGUUGGUGAAGUCUUUCGGUUCAAUUUGGAGACACUGGAAUGGAGUGUGAUCGGGCGGUUACCUUUCCGGAUCAAGACCACGUUGGUAGGAUACUGGGAUGGCUGGCUGUAUUUCACUUCCGGGCAACGAGACAAGGGCCCAAGCAACCCAUCUCCUAAAAAGGUUGUCGGGUGCAUGUGGAGAACUAAGUUGCACCUGUGA
Molecule: ribosomal RNA, 1248 nt
Filed under: Triticum aestivum (bread wheat)
Lineage: Eukaryota; Viridiplantae; Streptophyta; Magnoliopsida; Poales; Poaceae
Description: partial small subunit ribosomal RNA
Source: RNAcentral